Molecule: ribosomal RNA, 520 nt
Filed under: uncultured Entrophospora
Lineage: Eukaryota; Fungi; Glomeromycota; Glomeromycetes; Entrophosporales; Entrophosporaceae
Description: SSU rRNA
Rfam family: Eukaryotic small subunit ribosomal RNA
Source: RNAcentral
CGCAGCCGCGGUAAUUCCAGCUCCAAUAGCGUAUAUUAAAGUUGUUGCAGUUAAAAAGCUCGUAGUUGAAUUUCGGGAUUGACACAUCGGUCGUGCCUUAAGGGGUAUGAACUGGUGUAGUCAAUUUCUCACCUUCUGGAGAACCGCGAUGCCCUUAAUUGGGUGUCGCGGGGAACCAGGACCUUUACUUUGAAAAAAUUAGAGUGUUUAAAGCAGGCAUUUUGCUUGAAUACAUUAGCAUGGAAUAAUAAAAUAGGACGGCAUGAUUCUAUUUUGUUGGUUUCUAGGAUCACCGUAAUGAUUAAUAGGGAUAGUUGGGGGCAUUAGUAUUCAAUUGUCAGAGGUGAAAUUCUUGGAUUUAUUGAAGACUAACUACUGCGAAAGCAUUUGCCAAGGAUGUUUUCAUUAAUCAAGAACGAAAGUUAGGGGAUCGAAGACGAUCAGAUACCGUCGUAGUCUUAACCAUAAACUAUGCCGACUAGGAAUCAGACGAUGUUAAUUUUUUAAUGACUCGUUUGGU